AAAGGAGCAAUCCCGCUUUGAGAUGGCCUCGCGUCCGAUUAGCUAGUUGGUGAGGUAAUGGCCCACCAAGGCGACGAUCGGUAGCCGGACUGAGAGGUUGAACGGCCACAUUGGGACUGAGACACGGCCCAGACUCCUACGGGAGGCAGCAGUGGGGAAUAUUGCACAAUGGGGGAAACCCUGAUGCAGCGACGCCGCGUGGAGGAAGAAGGUCUUCGGAUUGUAAACUCCUGUUGUUGGGGAAGAUAAUGACGGUACCCAACAAGGAAGUGACGGCUAACUACGUGCCAGCAGCCGCGGUAAAACGUAGGUCACAAGCGUUGUCCGGAAUUACUGGGUGUAAAGGGAGCGCAGGCGGGAAGACAAGUUGGAAGUGAAAUCCAUGGGCUCAACCCAUGAACUGCUAUCAAAACUGUUUUUCUUGAGUAGUGCAGAGGUAGGCGGAAUUCCCGGUGUAGCGGUGGAAUGCGUAGAUAUCGGGAGGAACACCAGUGGCGAAGGCGGCCUACUGGGCACCAACUGACGCUGAGGCUCGAAAGUGUGGGUAGCAAACAGGAUUAGAUACCCUGGUAGUCCACACCGUAAACAAUGAUUACUAGGUGUUGGAGGAUUGACCCCUUCAGUGCCGCAGUUAACACAAUAAGUAAUCCACCUGGGGAGUACGACCGCAAGGUUGAAACUCAAAGGAAUUGACGGGGGCCCGCACAAGCAGUGGAGUAUGUGGUUUAAUUCGACGCAACGCGAAGAACCUUACCAAGUCUUGACAUCCUGUGACAGACGUAGAAAUACGUUCUUCCUUCGGGACACAGAGACAGGUGGUGCAUGGUUGUCGUCAGCUCGUGUCGUGAGAUGUUGGGUUAAGUCCCGCAACGAGCGCAACCCUUAUGGUCAGUUACUACGCAAGAGGACUCUGGCCAGACUGCCGUUGACAAAACGGAGGAAGGUGGGGAUGACGUCAAAUCAUCAUGCCCUUUAUGACUUGGGCUACACACGUACUACAAUGGCGUUAAACAAAGAGAAGCAAGACCGCGAGGUGGAGCAAAACUCAGAAACAACGUCCCAGUUCGGACUGCAGGCUGCAACUCGCCUGCACGAAGUCGGAAUUGCUAGUAAUCGUGGAUCAGCAUGCCACGGUGAAUACGUUCCCGGGCCUUGCACUCACCGCCCGUCA
Molecule: ribosomal RNA, 1171 nt
Filed under: uncultured bacterium
Lineage: Bacteria
Description: bacterial SSU rRNA
Rfam family: Bacterial small subunit ribosomal RNA
Source: RNAcentral